Molecule: ribosomal RNA, 498 nt
Filed under: uncultured bacterium
Lineage: Bacteria
Description: partial 16S ribosomal RNA
Rfam family: Bacterial small subunit ribosomal RNA
Source: RNAcentral
GAUGAACGCUGGCGGCGUGCUUAACACAUGCAAGUCGAACGAAGCACUUUAACUUGAUUUCUUCGGAUUGAUUGUUAUUGUGACUGAGUGGCGGACGGGUGAGUAACGCGUGGGUAACCUGCCUCAUACAGGGGGAUAACAGUUGGAAACGACUGCUAAUACCGCAUGAGCGCACGGUAUCGCAUGAUACAGUGUGAAAAACUCCGGUGGUAUGAGAUGGACCCGCGUCUGAUUAGCUAGUUGGCGGAGUAACGGCCCACCAAGGCAACGAUCAGUAGCCGACCUGAGAGGGUGACCGGCCACAUUGGGACUGAGACACGGCCCAAACUCCUACGGGAGGCAGCAGUGGGGAAUAUUGCACAAUGGGCGAAAGCCUGAUGCAGCGACGCCGCGUGAACGAUGAAGUAUUUCGGUAUGUAAAGUUCUAUCAGCAGGGAAGAAGGAUGACGGUACCUGACUAAGAAGCACCGGCUAAAUACGUGCCAGCCGCCGCAGUAA